CCUGUUCUUCCCCUCCCCAAAAUCUCGCGCAUCUCUAAUCCCAUGUCUCUCUCGCGCUCGCAUCCCGUCCUGCUGUUGUGUGCAAUUCUCCAGAGAGCUGCCCGCCGUUGCUUGGUUGCUGUCGGCCAGCUGCUUGCCGCCGAGCCACCUGCUGCCUGCCCUAGUCGCCUACCGCCUGCCCCAGCUCCAGCCACUUGCCCCAACCGCUUGCCGCAGCCGCUUGCCCUAGCUUCCUGCCCCAGCCGUCUACCGUAGCCGCCUGUACAGAAAUAGCAGCAAGCAUCCACAUGGCACUAGGAGGUCAUAGAUGCAUGAGGCGUAUGCCCAUUGACACUACUACUCAGGCCGAUGAUGUGGUUACGAUAUAGCUAGAGGCAACACAGAUUGAGAGGUCACCAUCAAUUGGGGAGACUUAGGGUGAUUUGCCCACCCACACCAACAACGUGG
Molecule: long non-coding RNA, 447 nt
Organism: Malania oleifera
Lineage: Eukaryota; Viridiplantae; Streptophyta; Magnoliopsida; Santalales; Ximeniaceae
Exons: 2
Source: RefSeq, a predicted model, not a curated record